GCAAACUUGGUCAUUUAGAGGAAGUACAAGUCGUAACAAGGUAUCCGUAGGUGAACCUGCGGAUGGAUCAUUACCAAGGAUUCCAUCCUACGUACUGUGCACUGUUUUGGCUGUGACUGUUGGCUGCCGGCUCUGAAGAUUCAGUAGCGGGUGAUUCCGCCUGUUCCAAUGGCGGCCGGUAGUCGACUGAAACUAUACGUUUUACCAUUAGACUUAGGCAAAUUUUAUGAACCUAGUAGAACUUUUAGCAAUGGAUCUCUUGGUUCUCGCAUCGAUGAAGAACGCAGC
This 288-nucleotide unclassified non-coding RNA is filed under the name uncultured fungus. Its description in RNAcentral is "partial contains small subunit ribosomal RNA, internal transcribed spacer 1, and 5.8S ribosomal RNA". The stretch from base 1 to 73 matches the Rfam family "Eukaryotic small subunit ribosomal RNA", at positions 1759 to 1831 of the family's 1831-position model. The record is from RNAcentral. Lineage: Eukaryota; Fungi.